Molecule: long non-coding RNA, 311 nt
Filed under: Elaeis guineensis (African oil palm)
Lineage: Eukaryota; Viridiplantae; Streptophyta; Magnoliopsida; Arecales; Arecaceae
Description: long non-coding RNA (EGUI_LNC039613)
Source: RNAcentral
CAUAAAACUAUCUUCCUUAUCUACCAAGGGUGAUAGAUUCUAUAUAAGUAUACAUCCUAUUCCUACAAUGAAACUACUUCAGCCAAUAUGCACCAUAAGGAUUCAUAUGCACCGCAGGUCAAUAGACUAGUCACUCUAUUGUAAUAUCGAGCAAGUCACUAAUGAGUGAGUAGAUAUCUAAGUGACUUCUCGUAUCGAUCACAUGUGGUAUCCUUAUUCUCUAACAAUCACCUGCACUCUUGCUUCAAUAUCCUCACAUCGUUGACUCGAGACUUGUCUAUCCUGUCAAAAAAAUGAUCCAUGCACCAAUC